UUUCAGGAUGACUCGAGCGACGAAGAAAAACGCAAGAAAAAACCUAAAGAGAAACCUCGAAAGGACGAUUCAAGUGAAGAUGACAAGAGAGAGAAGAAAAAGAAGUAUCGAAAGGAUGACUCGAGCGAUUCAAGUGAAGAUGACAGAAAAGAGAAGAAUAAGAAGUAUCGAAAGGAUGACUCGAGCGAUUCAAGUGAAGAUGACAGAAGAGAGAA
This is a long non-coding RNA of Actinia tenebrosa (Australian red waratah sea anemone), 215 nucleotides long. The record is from RefSeq and is a predicted model, not a curated record. NCBI's taxonomy places the organism in Eukaryota, Metazoa, Cnidaria, Anthozoa, Actiniaria, Actiniidae.